AAUUGCACCAAAACUAUUCCCUCUCAUCUCCCAACUUCCAAAACCCCUCAUCUUCCAAAACCGUUCCCUCCUCAUCUCCCAAUAAAACCACAAUUGAAUGCAUGUACUUCAACAAAAUUUUGUAGGAUUAUUGACCUUCCACCUGUUGAAUUGAGAGCUCAAUAGAAUAGAAGAUGAGGUGUUUGUUCAUAAAUCCCAAUAGAAAUCCAAAAGCGACUCGACGAGGGGGGCAACUACCAGCUGAAUUUAAGAAGAUAUAUAAGGUUUGGAUGAGCAAGCUCGUGUGGAUGAAGAAGUGCUCCAAAAAUUAUUAGUUUUUUUUAAUUUAUGUUUUUAUUUUAUUUUCAUCCCAUGACCACUUUUUUGAGUAGGCACUGUUGUAGGUAAAGUCCCUUUCGUAAACUAAAAAGUAUGAUGUGGAGAACUGGAGAUUGGAACCUGAGAUCUCACCCAAAAUUUUCUUAAGCCAGAUACGUUAACUUAUUGUUUAUGUGUUUCAUAUUCUCAAUUUGUUUUGAUACUUGGACAGAAGUGCUUGAUACAACUAGAGCUGGCUCUUUUUUAUCUUUUACAAUGGAAUGUUCAAAAGUUACAUAA
Molecule: long non-coding RNA, 597 nt
Organism: Ananas comosus (pineapple)
Lineage: Eukaryota; Viridiplantae; Streptophyta; Magnoliopsida; Poales; Bromeliaceae
Exons: 2
Source: RefSeq, a predicted model, not a curated record